This 258-nucleotide ribosomal RNA is filed under the name uncultured bacterium. Its description in RNAcentral is "partial 16S ribosomal RNA". It matches the Rfam family "Bacterial small subunit ribosomal RNA", at positions 96 to 354 of the family's 1533-position model. The record is from RNAcentral.
UGGCGGACGGGUGAGUAACGCGUGGAAAACCUGCCGUAUACUGGGGGAUAACACUUAGAAAUAGGUGCUAAUACCGCAUAAGCGCACAGCUUCGCAUGAAGCGGUGUGAAAAACUCUGGUGGUAUACGAUGGUUCCGCGUCUGAUUAGCUAGUUGGUGGGGUAAUGGCCUACCAAGGCGACGAUGGGUAGCCGGCCUGAGAGGGUGGCCGGCCACACUGGGACUGAGACACGGCCCAGACUCCUACGGAAGGCAGCAG